UACGAAGGGGGCUAGCGUUGCUCGGAAUCACUGGGCGUAAAGGGUGCGUAGGCGGGUCUUUAAGUCAGGGGUGAAAUCCUGGAGCUCAACUCCAGAACUGCCUUUGAUACUGAGGAUCUUGAGCUCGGGAGAGGUGAGUGGAACUGCGAGUGUAGAGGUGAAAUUCGUAGAUAUUCGCAAGAACACCAGUGGCGAAGGCGGCUCACUGGCCCGAUACUGACGCUGAGGCACGAAAGCGUGGGGAGCGAACAGG
This 253-nucleotide ribosomal RNA is filed under the name uncultured bacterium. RNAcentral's name for it is "partial 16S ribosomal RNA". It matches the Rfam family "Bacterial small subunit ribosomal RNA", at positions 524 to 776 of the family's 1533-position model. The record is from RNAcentral.